UGAGAUGGCUGGUAAAUAUUUUGAGGUGU
RNAcentral lists this non-coding RNA (29 nucleotides) under Mus musculus (house mouse). The record is from RNAcentral. Lineage: Eukaryota; Metazoa; Chordata; Mammalia; Rodentia; Muridae.